AACGAACGCUGGCGGCAUGCCUAACACAUGCAAGUCGAACGAAGGCUUCGGCCUUAGUGGCGCACGGGUGCGUAACGCGUGGGAAUCUGCCCUUGGGUUCGGAAUAACAGUGAGAAAUUACUGCUAAUACCGGAUGAUGACUUCGGUCCAAAGAUUUAUCGCCCAAGGAUGAGCCCGCGUAAGAUUAGCUAGUUGGUGAGGUAAAGGCUCACCAAGGCGACGAUCUUUAGCUGGUCUGAGAGGAUGAUCAGCCACACUGGGACUGAGACACGGCCCAGACUCCUACGGGAGGCAGCAGUGGGGAAUAUUGGACAAUGGGCGAAAGCCUGAUCCAGCAAUGCCGCGUGAGUGAUGAAGGCCUUAGGGUUGUAAAGCUCUUUUACCAGGGAUGAUAAUGACAGUACCUGGAGAAUAAGCUCCGGCUAACUCCGUGCCAGCAGCCGCGGUAAUACGGAGGGAGCUAGCGUUGUUCGGAAUUACUGGGCGUAAAGCGCACGUAGGCGGCCAUUCAAGUCAGAGGUGAAAGCCCGGGGCUCAACCCCGGAACUGCCUUUGAAACUAGAUGGCUUGAAUCUUGGAGAGGCGAGUGGGAUUCCGAGUGUAGAGGUGAAAUUCGUAGAUAUUCGGAAGAACACCAGUGGCGAAGGCGACUCGCUGGACAAGUAUUGACGCUGAGGUGCGAAAGCGUGGGGAGCAAACAGG
Molecule: ribosomal RNA, 702 nt
Filed under: uncultured Sphingomonadaceae bacterium
Lineage: Bacteria; Pseudomonadati; Pseudomonadota; Alphaproteobacteria; Sphingomonadales; Sphingomonadaceae
Description: bacterial SSU rRNA
Rfam family: Bacterial small subunit ribosomal RNA
Source: RNAcentral